UGGGGAAUAUUGGACAAUGGGCGCAAGCCUGAUCCAGCCAUGCCGCGUGAGUGAUGAAGGCCCUAGGGUUGUAAAGCUCUUUCACCGGUGAAGAUAAUGACGGUAACCGGAGAAGAAGCCCCGGCUAACUUCGUGCCAGCAGCCGCGGUAAUACGAAGGGGGCUAGCGUUGUUCGGAUUUACUGGGCGUAAAGCGCACGUAGGCGGACUAUUAAGUCAGGGGUGAAAUCCCGGGGCUCAACCCCGGAACUGCCUUUGAUACUGGUAGUCUUGAGUUCGAGGGAGGUGAGUGGAAUUCCGAGUGUGGAGGUGAAAUUCGUAGAUAUUCGGAGAAACACCAGUGGCGAAGGCGGCUCACUGGCUGGAUACUGACGCUGAGGUGCGAAAGCGUGGGGAGCAAACAGG
Molecule: ribosomal RNA, 404 nt
Filed under: Actinomycetes bacterium
Lineage: Bacteria; Bacillati; Actinomycetota; Actinomycetes
Description: Actinobacteria bacterium partial 16S ribosomal RNA
Rfam family: Bacterial small subunit ribosomal RNA
Source: RNAcentral